GUCUAAGUAUGAACGCUCGUACUGUGAAACUGCGAAUGGCUCAUUAAAUCAGUUAUAGUUUAUUUGAUGGUCGUUUUGCUACAUGGAUAACUGUGGUAAUUCUAGAGCUAAUACAUGCACAAGGUCCCGACUUUUGGGAGGGACGUAUUUAUUAGAUCCAAAACCAGCGCGGGGCUCCUCGUGGGUCCCGGUCCCUGGGCGAUUCAUGAUAACUGUUCGAAUCGCACGGCCUUGGCGCCGGCGAUGGUCCAUUCAAAUUUCUGCCCUAUCAACUUUCGAUGGUACGGUAGUGGCCUACCAUGGUUGCAACGGGUGACGGAGAAUUAGGGUUCGAUUCCGGAGAGGGAGCCUGAGAAACGGCUACCACAUCCAAGGAAGGCAGCAGGCGCGCAAAUUACCCAAUCCCGACUCGGGGAGGUAGUGACAAUAAAUAACAAUGCUGGGCUCUUGUAGUCUGGCAAUUGGAAUGAGUCCAAUCUAAACCCCUUAACGAGGAACAAUUGGAGGGCAAGUCUGGUGCCAGCAGCCGCGGUAAUUCCAGCUCCAAUAGCGUAUAUUAAAGUUGUUGCAGUUAAAAAGCUCGUAGUUGGAUUUCGGGGCAGCCCGGCCGGUCCGCCGCAAGGCGAGUACUGGUCGGGCGCUCUUCCUCUCGAA
Molecule: ribosomal RNA, 654 nt
Filed under: Tetilla japonica
Lineage: Eukaryota; Metazoa; Porifera; Demospongiae; Tetractinellida; Tetillidae
Description: SSU rRNA
Rfam family: Eukaryotic small subunit ribosomal RNA
Source: RNAcentral